This is a non-coding RNA of Cetobacterium ceti, 74 nucleotides long. Lineage: Bacteria; Fusobacteriati; Fusobacteriota; Fusobacteriia; Fusobacteriales; Fusobacteriaceae. The record is from Rfam.
CGGAAUAUAGCGCAGUCCGGUAGCGCACCUGCCUUGGGAGCAGGGGGCCGCAAGUUCGAAUCUUGCUAUUCCGA